GCGAACGAACAGCCUCCCCCUUGAUAUGCUACGUCCCCAUUUAAAAAAAUCAAUACUUAAUAAUUAGCAAUUAAUACACUUUCCAAGUAUAUACAACUGCUAUCUUAUUUUCUGCAGUUUUUAAUGAGAAUUAUGCUCUUAAGGUUAAUAGAUAAACGAAUGUUUCGAACAUAAGUUAUUUUUAUAAAUUUAUAUCAUUUGUCUCAGUAACAAAAAUUAAAUUUUGCUUCAUACAAAAAAUACAAGUAAUUAACCAAUUAACUCAUACCUUUUAUUGAAUAAAAAAUACAAUUAAGGUGAUUAAUUGAAUAUAAAUGGAAUUACCGUAUGUACGCAUUAUGUCAUCAUUACUUAAUAAACAUAUCUUUUAAUAUAAUUUGUACUGUAAUGUUUAACAGAAAUAUAUAUACGUCAAAAAUGAAAUAUAUUUAAUGAAACAUGUUAUUGUUGUAACAUGGUAAUUUGUUAAUGUAAUAAACAUAUAUUUAUUAAAUAAGUAUGAACUAUUAAUAAAAGUCAUGAAAUUGAUUAAUUUAUAAAUA
Long non-coding RNA from Bombus huntii, 542 nucleotides. RefSeq lists it as uncharacterized. The record is from RefSeq and is a predicted model, not a curated record. The transcript is spliced from 2 exons. Lineage: Eukaryota; Metazoa; Arthropoda; Insecta; Hymenoptera; Apidae.